CCCUUAGAUGUUCUGGGCCGCACGCGCGCUACACUGACACGUUCAUCAAGUCUAUAACCUUGACCGAGAGGUCUGGGCAAUCUUUUAAAAACGUGUCGUGCUGGGGAUAGAUUAUUGCAAUUAUUAAUCUUCAACGAGGAAUUCCUAGUAAACGCAAGUCAUCAACUUGCAUUGAUUACGUCCCUGCCCUUUGUACACACCGCCCGUCGCUACUACCGAUUGAAUGAUUUAGUGAGUACCAGGGACCGAGCGCUUUGGUUGGGUUUCCUUCCCUAGCGCUUGGGAACUGUCGCAAACUUGACCAUUUAGAGGAAGUAAAAGUCGUAACA
RNAcentral lists this ribosomal RNA (329 nucleotides) under uncultured eukaryote. Its description in RNAcentral is "partial 18S ribosomal RNA". It matches the Rfam family "Eukaryotic small subunit ribosomal RNA", at positions 1470 to 1796 of the family's 1831-position model. The record is from RNAcentral.